This 217-nucleotide long non-coding RNA is filed under the name Setaria italica (foxtail millet). Its description in RNAcentral is "long non-coding RNA (SITA_LNC001223)". The record is from RNAcentral. Lineage: Eukaryota; Viridiplantae; Streptophyta; Magnoliopsida; Poales; Poaceae.
CGUCUCGCCCGACCCUGUCUGUUUCGCCGACCCUUAUCCGCCUCGCCCGAGUGCUCGGCUAUAUCUUUUUCUUUGACCCGAGGGUAUCUAUGUAAAAUUUUGGGGACUUCUCUGUGUUAAGUCUGAGGACCAAGGUAUAGUUAUUCCUUAGGUCUAAGGGUCAGAUCAUAAGUUUCUCCCAAUCCGACCCUUUUAUCCUGUUCUCCACCAACCGAAG